RNAcentral lists this ribosomal RNA (269 nucleotides) under uncultured prokaryote. RNAcentral describes it as "partial 16S ribosomal RNA". It matches the Rfam family "Bacterial small subunit ribosomal RNA", at positions 524 to 792 of the family's 1533-position model. The record is from RNAcentral.
UACGGAGGAUCCGAGCGUUAUCCGGAUUUAUUGGGUUUAAAGGGUGCGCAGGCGGGAGAUUAAGUCGGCGGUGAAAUUUUGCAGCUUAACUGUAAAAGUGCCAUCGAUACUGGUUUCCUUGAGUGUAGAUGAAGUAGGCGGAAUUUGUGGUGUAGCGGUGAAAUGCAUAGAUAUCACGAGGAACUCCGAUUGCGCAGGCAGCUUACUAAACUACUACUGACGCUCAGGCACGAAGGCGUGGGGAUCAAACAGGAUUAGAUACCCUGGUA